GACGAACGCUGGCGGCGUGCUUAACACAUGCAAGUCGAACGGAAAGGCCCUGCUUUUGUGGGGUGCUCGAGUGGCGAACGGGUGAGUAACACGUGAGUAACCUGCCCUUGACUUUGGGAUAACUUCAGGAAACUGGGGCUAAUACCGGAUAGGAGCUCCUGCUGCAUGGUGGGGGUUGGAAAGUUUCGGCGGUUGGGGAUGGACUCGCGGCUUAUCAGCUUGUUGGUGGGGUAGUGGCUUACCAAGGCUUUGACGGGUAGCCGGCCUGAGAGGGUGACCGGCAACAUUGGGAUUGGAAUACGGCCCGGACUCCUAGGGGGGGAAGCAGUGGGGAAUAUUGCACAAGGGGCGGAAGCCGGAUGCAGCAACGCCGGGGGGGGGAUGACGGCCUUGGGGUUGGAAACCGCUUUCGCCUGGGACGAAGGGGGGGUGACGGUAAUGGGGAAAGAAGCACCGGCUAACUCCGU
This 467-nucleotide ribosomal RNA is filed under the name uncultured bacterium. RNAcentral's name for it is "partial 16S ribosomal RNA". It matches the Rfam family "Bacterial small subunit ribosomal RNA", at positions 28 to 506 of the family's 1533-position model. The record is from RNAcentral.